AAACAGAAGAUGUAUGGCAAAAUAUGGAGUCCUUUCCUUGGAUAUAUAUUAUAAUGUAGCUGUAACUAUUAUUUUUUAAUAUAUUUUUCUUCUUUUCACAUGUCAUUUUCUUUUGUAACGGAUUCCAUUAGUCUGGAAACUGUAUGGGGAAAAGGAGCAAUCGCUGGCUCUCCGUAUGAAGAAUAUGAAUCACUGGGUCAUCGGGGAACAUAUUGAAUCAUCAGGAAAACAUUAGAAAGCACUGGUACGCUACAUGAAUUCAUGACACAAGAAAGCAAGUCUGCAUGUGUUGACUUAAGCUGUGAUAAGAAUAAAGUUAAUUAAUGAUAAUACAUUAGAGUCAUUGCAUAAAAUGAAUCCCGUUUUUACUUGAGAAAUAAACCAACAUAAAAGUGCUGUAACUAGGCUAUAAUAAAUGUGUGAUUUCAAAACAU
This 434-nucleotide long non-coding RNA is filed under the name Danio rerio (zebrafish). RNAcentral describes it as "lncRNA si:dkey-16f21.2 (ENSDARG00000102689.2)". The record is from RNAcentral. Lineage: Eukaryota; Metazoa; Chordata; Actinopteri; Cypriniformes; Danionidae.